RNAcentral lists this ribosomal RNA (265 nucleotides) under uncultured bacterium. RNAcentral describes it as "partial 16S ribosomal RNA". It matches the Rfam family "Bacterial small subunit ribosomal RNA", at positions 793 to 1055 of the family's 1533-position model. The record is from RNAcentral.
GUCCACGCUGUAAACGAUGGGCACUAGGUGUUCGGGGUAUUGACACCCUGAGUGCCGCAGCUAACGCAUUAAGUGCCCCGCCUGGGGACUACGGCCGCAAGGUUAAAACUCAAAGGAAUUGACGGGGGCCCGCACAAGCGGUGGAGCAUGUGGUUUAAUUCGACGCAACGCGAAGAACCUUACCUGGGCUAGACAACGUCGGACAGCUCUAGAAACAGAGUCUUUCCGCAAGGGACUGGCGGUUCAGGUGCUGCAUGGCUGUCGU